UACGGGGGGGGGCAAGCGUUGUUCGGAAUUACUGGGCGUAAAGGGCUCGUAGGCGGCCAACUAAGUCGGAUGUGAAAUCCCCCAGGCUCAAACUUGGGGAACUGCAUCCGAUACUGGAUGGCUUGAAUUCGGGAGAGGGAUGCAGAAUUCCAGGUGUAGCGGUGAAAAUGCGUCAGAUAUCUGAGGGAACGAACCGAUGCCGGAGGGCGGAAGCU
RNAcentral lists this ribosomal RNA (215 nucleotides) under uncultured bacterium. Its description in RNAcentral is "partial 16S ribosomal RNA". It matches the Rfam family "Bacterial small subunit ribosomal RNA", at positions 524 to 730 of the family's 1533-position model. The record is from RNAcentral.